Neodiprion fabricii is the source of this 3464-nucleotide long non-coding RNA. RefSeq lists it as uncharacterized. The record is from RefSeq and is a predicted model, not a curated record. Lineage: Eukaryota; Metazoa; Arthropoda; Insecta; Hymenoptera; Diprionidae. The transcript has 3 exons.
UCUUCCGAGCGUGCCUAGGGCUACGCUGCAUAACCUGGAGGUAGACCAGGGUAGUAUUCAUCCCCAAAACAGGAAAGAACUGCUAUGACCACGCAAAAUCAUGGAGACCGGUCAGUAUAAAAUCUUUUCUGCUGAAGACACUGGAACAAUUGGUGGACAGAUUCAUAAGGGACGAAGUUCUAGCUGUGAACCCCUUUCCGAAGAUACAGCACGCCUACUAAGCCGGUAGGACAACAGAGACGGCACUCUAUCACCUGGUAAAAGGGAGGUGGAGGGGCCACCCUAUCGAAAGAAAGCAGCGUUUUGCGUGUUUAUGGACAUUGAAGGGGCGUUCGACAACACCUCCUUCGAUGCAAUUUGUGAAGCUGCCACAAAGUUGGGCAUAAGGCACAUACUACAGACCAGGACUGUCUCCGCUAGUCUUAGAGGUACCGAGGUCAGGACCCAAGUUGGCAGGGAUUGCCCACAGGGGGCGUAGUCUUCCCCCUGCUGUAGACCUUGGUCGUGGACAGUCUAAUUACGGGGCUCGACAAGAUGAUGAUGACAGCGGUGGGUUAGGCUGACGACGUCACCUUAAUCGUCGCAGGUGACCACCUUCCCUCUAUGACAAGCAAGAUGCAGAAGGCACUUAACUUUGUUCAGAACUGGUGCACAUCUUAGGGUCUAAGGAUCAAUCCUAGCAAAACCGAAAUGGUACUCUUCACUAUGAAGUGCAACCUCAUGAUGGGACAAAUUGAGAUUUUUGGGUUAAGAUUAACCCUGUCUAUCGGGGUGCGCUACCUGGGAGUCACCCUGGACCGUUAACUUACAUGGAGGGCCCACAUCGACCACCAAGCACAGAAGGCUACGGCCACUUACUGGACCUGGAUUAUGCAGGAGGAUGGUAGACUGAACUUGGGGACUACAACCAUGGGUAGUCCAAUCACAGCAAUCAUACUGUCUCAAAUCACCUAUGCUUCACUCGUGUGGUGGCCCGCAAUGGGCAAGACCACAUUUCGAAUAGCAUACGACCGCAUCUACAGGAUGGCGAUCGUGGGCAUCACGGGGGCUCUUCGGCCACCUCGACAACUCCUAUAGAGGCCCUUCUAGACCUACCGCCUCUACACAUCACGGUGGAGGAGGAUGCCUGCGGGUAACGCUACAUCUGUGGCACCUAGGGCUUUGGAAGCGCACCGGUUUGGGACACACAGUGAUACUAAACCGGUUAGGGGCACCGCGGACUGUUCUGGAACUGACCGGGGACCGCUGCCCUAGCAGAUUCCAAUUUGACCAAACUUUCAGGGUAAUUUACCCCCCUAGGGAGACCUGGGUUAAGAACCCAGAUGAUUUAUGCUCACCAAAAGGACUCGUUUGGUAUACAGACGGGUCUAAAGCUGAGAUGGGCACCGGCGCCGGCUUCUGGUGCGGGGGACCAAGGACCAGCAUUUCGCUCUCCGUAGGACCCACGGCCUCGGUACUACAAGCCGAAUUGUUUGCCCUGCUGACCUGUGCCCUGCAUAUCCUGAGCAAAGGCUACAAAGGGAAUCACAUAUACAUCUAGUGACAGCCGAGCGGCACUUAGACACUUGGACGGAUACGUCGUAAGUUCAGUGCGGACUUGUGACUGCAUUACUCUCUUAUCACGGCUGUCAAAGAAUAACCGCGUAAGCUUCAUAUGGGCGCCAGGACACAGUGGCAUCCAAGGCAACAAGCUGGCACACAACCUAGCCAGAGAGGGAGCAUCACGCCGCACGAGUGACGAGGGCUGCCUCGCUGACCUAUCUCCGGGGCACGUAAAACGCCUAUCCAAGCAAUGGACGGAGACCUGCUUCGCGGAACCCUGGAGUGGAGCACCGGGCAUGGCUCAAACGAGGGCCCUAUUCCAAGGGCCAUCGCACUCACAAGCAGCCACGCGCAUCAAUCUAAACAGGACCGAGCUAAAAACCGCGGUGGGUUUCAUUACCGGUCACUGGUACACGGGCAGGCAUCUCGUACACUUGGGGCUCAGAACGGAGUCCCUGUGCCCGAGAUGCGGGGAGGAGCAGGAGACUCACCUCCACCUCAUCAGCCGGUGUGGUGGACUCGAGGGACCGCGUAAACGGGCCCUUGGAGCUAGCUACACCGGCGAAGAAAAAAUUGAGGAAAUAAGGGUGGGCAGACUGCUUCAAUUUGCCAAGCUGGCCGGCCUCACGUCGAUUCUUACAUAUUGGGGUGCUCCAACGGGCCCGGGCACAAUGGUCAAGCAGGACUGAACGCCCGGUUACCCCCGUCUAACAUAAAUACAUAGGUACGAGUCGUAGUAUAAAUAAUUUAUCCUGAUGAAUUUGAAUUGCUAUUCUCUGUAAUAAAUCAAUUAUUAAUAAUUAUUAUUACCCUUAUUAUCGAUUCGAAGUGUUUUACAUUAUAUAUUAUCUUAUAUAAUAAAGAGGGUUCCGUUUUUCUUUUUCGAGUACGGCACCCUAAAAAGUAGUAACCUAUCGGACCAUACAACGAACUAUUAAUGCAGGAUUCUUUGACUUAUAUUUAUAACAUAUAACGAAUGACAUAUUCGCUUCAUUUGCAUUCCUUCCGAUUAUCAUCCAAUUAAUUCAAUGUUUCUUAUGUAAUUGUGGUGCUUAAUAUCUGAAAUAUUGCGAAUUCAAACAAAAAAUAAAGAAAUAUUGAUAAAGCUCUAAAAUUUUUGCAAGAAUAUCGAAUAUUUCAUACGACCUGUAGCAUUUUUGGUGCUCGUCUUCGAAUAGUUUAUUAGCAAAUUUUAUUCAUAUAGUUUUUAAUAUGUACAUUCAAAAUUUAGACGAACUUUUUAAUUUGGUAAACUAUGAAAGAAGAUAUGCAUUUUCUAAACAUAUCAAAAUCUAUUUUUUAUAUUGUAUUUGUCGAGAGAUAAUAUUUUUUCGUUCCGCAGUCUAUCGCAGAAGUUUUCAUCUUUUACGACUGUCAAUGCAUAGACGGAUAUCUCGGCCAAUUGAUAUUUGAAAAACGAGAGAAAAUUAAAAUAUGACCAUUUUACUCCGGGUCAUGUGAUAGGAAUUCUAAAAGGGGUACUACAGACCCAGGUAUGCGACGAAAAAAUGGAUAUGGCCUAGGGUUAAACAACACUAGCAAACUACACUAUUUAUGUAGAACAUACCUCACCCAUCUCCACAUUAUUGGGUGACAUAAAGUUCUAAUAUUGGGUUCGAGAUAAAGAUCCAAUUAACUUGUUUCAGAUUCAACUGACGUAUUAGCUUCAAUGAAAAGGUCAAAAAUGCUACAGACCUGAAUGUGAAGACGGUAUAAGCAGCUUGUUUCGGCCGCCGUUUGCUGAGCCAAUACCUCCUGGUGGUGGGCCAACCGAGAAUUGGUGCUGGCGGUCGCUUUCUCUGCUUGAACAACAAGUUCAUGAUGGUGCCACUUCAAGAGAUCCUUCACUUGGAAAUACAGCUAAAAUUCAAUUUUCUUAAGACGCUAUUUUGAAAGAACAGUAAUAAAUACGAUACCAAAAA